AGCUGAUCACUGGGCGUAAAGCGAGGCAGGCGGUUUUGUAAGACAGAGGUGAAAUCCCCGGGCUCAACCUGGGAACUGCCUUUGUGACUGCAAGGCUGGAGUGCGGCAGAGGGGGAUGGAAUUCCGCGUGUAGCAGUGAAAUGCGUAGAUAUGCGGAGGAACACCGAUGGCGAAGGCAAUCCCCUGGGCCUGCACUGACGCUCAUGCACGAAAGCGUGGGGAGCAAACA
Molecule: ribosomal RNA, 229 nt
Filed under: uncultured Alicycliphilus sp.
Lineage: Bacteria; Pseudomonadati; Pseudomonadota; Betaproteobacteria; Burkholderiales; Comamonadaceae
Description: partial 16S ribosomal RNA
Rfam family: Bacterial small subunit ribosomal RNA
Source: RNAcentral